This 428-nucleotide ribosomal RNA is filed under the name uncultured bacterium. Its description in RNAcentral is "bacterial SSU rRNA". It matches the Rfam family "Bacterial small subunit ribosomal RNA", at positions 355 to 775 of the family's 1533-position model. The record is from RNAcentral.
UGGGGAAUAUUGGACAAUGGGCGCAAGCCUGAUCCAGCCAUGCCGCGUGGGUGAAGAAGGCCUUCGGGUUGUAAAGCCCUUUUGUUGGGAAAGAAAAGCAGCCGGUUAAUACCCGGUUGUCAUGACGGUACCCAAAGAAUAAGCACCGGCUAACUUCGUGCCAGCAGCCGCGGUAAUACGAAGGGUGCAAGCGUUACUCGGAAUUACUGGGCGUAAAGCGUGCGUAGGUGGUUUGUUAAGUCAGAUGUGAAAGCCCUGGGCUCAACCUGGGAACUGCAUUUGAUACUGGCAGGCUAGAGUGCGGUAGAGGGGUGCGGAAUUCCUGGUGUAGCAGUGAAAUGCGUAGAGAUCAGGAGGAACAUCCGUGGCGAAGGCGGCACCCUGGGCCAGCACUGACACUGAGGCACGAAAGCGUGGGGAGCAAACAG